UUUAGAAGCAGAAUGGAUUCAAGCAUGAGAGUAGUAGUUGGAAGCAGAAAAAGAAGCACUAGCAGAAUGGGCUCCCUUGACCUUGGUGGAAUGGAGUGAAUAAUUGCAGAGUUGUUGGCGAGUGUGGAUUUCAGCAGCAUGAUCACAGGCUUAGGCACCCCAGAUCAUAGAUUCAGAUGCAGCACUGUGGGGAUACAGCUCCAGCUGAACUUGUCCAGAAUUUCCAGAAAUCCAUGCAGUUAAAAAGAGAAGAAAGUACACUUUGAAAUUGCAAGCCGCUGAAUGCUCCCAGCUCAUGACUUCUGGAUCAGUCACAAGCAGCUCACUGGAACAUGGGUCCUGUGGCUCAAGAUUUCUGACACUAAAAUUGUCAUCUCAAUUUUUCUGCAUUUAAUUUUCAAGUCUUUUCAAAUGGCAUGGUUACAUUGUCCGUGGCAUAAAUUUGAAAGUGGAAUUUGCAUUUAGAACGCUGUAAAAUACACUAUUCCUUCGGGUAUUUUUGGAGCGCGUCCAUAUAAAUCAAGAUAAGAAUACUAAAAGCAAAGCCAUUUGAUUAGGUACUAAAUGCAAAACAUUACAAGACUGUGAUAUAACAGCCACCACAAACUUAAAGUCAGCCUGCUUAUACACCAUCAUCCAGAGUGGAAAAUUAAAAUGACAGGUUUAAGAGAUAAAGACAAUCUUGCUCUGAUUCAGCCUUAGGGGUCUUUCCAGUUUAUCUCUGUUAUGAGGUGUAAUGUAAUAUUACAUACACAUCUAUUCUAAACAUUCAGACUUUCAUAGAUAUGUCAGAAAGAUAACUCUUGAUGUGAAAACAAAGUGAAUUAUGACCUUGUGAAAGUUCUCUAAUUUACUUUUAUGUGGGCCUGCUUACCUCUACCACCCAAGAUUCCUGAGAGGUAUGGAAGAGAAAGAUAACAGUUGAAUUUUCAAGG
This is a long non-coding RNA of Ornithorhynchus anatinus (platypus), 935 nucleotides long. RefSeq lists it as uncharacterized. Lineage: Eukaryota; Metazoa; Chordata; Mammalia; Monotremata; Ornithorhynchidae. The transcript is spliced from 3 exons. The record is from RefSeq and is a predicted model, not a curated record.